This 293-nucleotide long non-coding RNA is filed under the name Elaeis guineensis (African oil palm). RNAcentral describes it as "long non-coding RNA (EGUI_LNC007374)". Lineage: Eukaryota; Viridiplantae; Streptophyta; Magnoliopsida; Arecales; Arecaceae. The record is from RNAcentral.
AACAUUAUCUACAACAUAUGCCAAGCAAGAUCUAUAGGCAUUAGAUAGAUUCAACCCACCUCACACAACCAAAAAUAAUAGUUAUUGUCAGACCAUCCAACAAUAAACAUUACAAGGAUCAACAUGAAACAUCAAAGACUAUCAUCAAUGUUAGAAGAACGAGCAAGAUUCACAGAUACUGUAAUCCAUUAUGUAAUCCAAGGUUAGACCUAUAAUAUCCUUGCUCGUAAAGGAAAGUAAACGACAUCCAAGUACAUGGAUAGACAUGUAGCAAAGAAAUCAUAAAAAAGGAG